UUUCUUUUUAGGCCAACAGCAGACUCUAAAUCUAAAGAACCAGAAAAUUGUAACAAAUCUUGGCCAUUUAAUUUUGAAAUGGUCAAGCCACUGGUGCCAGAUUUGAAGAGAUUUUGGCCAAACCUCUAUCCAGAUACAGAAGCAAACAGUUUCUGGGAACAUGAGUGGUCAAAACAUGGAACCUGUGCUACCUCAGUACCUGCUACCUCUAAUGAACUCAAGUACUUCCAAAUGGGACUCAAGCUUCAUGCUCAAUACAACCUCACAAAGUAAAUGUUUU
Molecule: long non-coding RNA, 280 nt
Organism: Saccostrea cuccullata (small rock oyster)
Lineage: Eukaryota; Metazoa; Mollusca; Bivalvia; Ostreida; Ostreidae
Exons: 3
Source: RefSeq, a predicted model, not a curated record